CGGCGCCAACGACGACCGCGGUAGAGAGACCACGACCUCCGGUGUUGCGCUUAGAUGCUGUUAAGAAUGGCUAUGGUGCAUCAUCUCCAUGGACGCAAAAUAAAGCACGGCAAAUCGAGCAACACCUGUGGAUGGAGAUUGCGGCGGACUUAUCUGUCAUGGACUUGGAGCUGCAUCUCACAACUUUGGGCCAUGUUUAUGGAGCAGUAGUGUUCUUUUUCCUUAAGAUGCACCGGAUUCGUACUGCCAUACAUAGGCUUAAGCUCAGGGUUUCCUUACUCGACCACGAUACUAUAUCCGCGAAUGAAGAGGAAUGCCGACAGCAUUGUGCUUGCGCCCCCACCAACUGGACAAGCCAAGUUGUCUCCUUGAUGGAGCUUGCAGAGGUGGAAAUUGACGGUUUCCAAGGAGACGAUCACGAGUUUGAUGUCUUGGAACAUCUAUUCAGAUGUGCGCCAACUAUUAAAAAAAUGGUCCUGAAGCAGUCAUACGAGGUCGCCCCAAGUGCC
Molecule: long non-coding RNA, 509 nt
Organism: Triticum dicoccoides
Lineage: Eukaryota; Viridiplantae; Streptophyta; Magnoliopsida; Poales; Poaceae
Exons: 3
Source: RefSeq, a predicted model, not a curated record